UACGAAGGGGGCUAGCGUUGUUCGGAAUCACUGGGCGUAAAGCGCACGUAGGCGGAUCUUUAAGUCAGGGGUGAAAUCCCGAGGCUCAACCUCGGAACUGCCUUUGAUACUGGGGAUCUCGAGUCCGGGAGAGGUGAGUGGAACUGCGAGUGUAGAGGUGAAAUUCGUAGAUAUUCGCAAGAACACCAGGGGGGAAGGCGGCUCACUGGCACGGAACUGACGCUGAGGUGCGAAAGCGUGGGGAGCAAACAGG
Molecule: ribosomal RNA, 253 nt
Filed under: uncultured bacterium
Lineage: Bacteria
Description: partial 16S ribosomal RNA
Rfam family: Bacterial small subunit ribosomal RNA
Source: RNAcentral